AACGCCGAAAACCCAAGGUUUCCUACGCGAUGCUCGUCAUCGUAGGGUUAGUCGGGUCCUAAGUCGAGUCCGAAAAGGGUAGACGAUGGCAAAUUGAUUAAUAUUUCAAUACCAACAUACAAGCGCGAUGUGGGGACGCAUAGAGUUAGUCGAGCUCACUGAUGGAAUAGUGGGUCGAAGGACGUAGGUUGUUAAGUAGGCAAAUCCGCUUAACGUUAGACCGAGAUCUUACAGGCUCUUGACACUCUUCGGAGGAGAUGGAGAAUCGAUGAUACUGUCGUGCCAAGAAAAGCCACUAAGUUUAUUAUAUGUUGCCCGUACCGUAAACCGACACAGGUGGGUGGGAUGAGUAUUCUAAGGCGCGUGGAAGAACCCUCUUUAAGGAACUCUGCAAACUAGCACCGUAUCUUCGGUAUAAGGUGUGCCUACUUUGGUAUAUGGACUUGCUCCAAAAAGCUAGAGAGGUUGCAACAAAGAGUCCCUCCCGACUGUUUACCAAAAACACAGCACUUUGCUAACACGUAAGUGGAUGUAUAAGGUGUGACGCCUGCCCGGUGCUCGAAGGUUAAUUGAUGAUGUCAGCGCAAGCGAAGCAUUUGAUCGAAGCCCGAGUAAACGGCGGCCGUAACUAUAACGGUCCUAAGGUAGCGAAAUUCCUUGUCGGUUAAAUACCGACCUGCAUGAAUGGCGUAACGAGAUGGGAGCUGUCUCAACGAGGGAUCCAGUGAAAUUGUAGUGGAGGUGAAAAUUCCUCCUACCCGCGGAAAGACGGAAAGACCCCGUGCACCUUUACUACAGCUUGACACUGUAGCUUGGAUAUUCAUGUGCAGGAUAGGUGGGAGGCUAUGAUGACUAGACGCAAGUAGAGUCGGAGCCAUCCUUGAGAUACCACCCUUGAAUAUUUGAGUUACUAACUGCGAUGAGUUAUCCUCAUUCAGGACAAUGUCUGGUGGGUAGUUUGACUGGGGCGGUCGCCUCCUAAAUAGUAACGGAGGCUUACAAAGGUUAGUUCAAAGCGGAUGGAAAUCGCUUGUUGAGUAUAAUGGCAUAAACUAGCUUGACUGUGAGACCUACAAGUCGAACAGAGACGAAAGUCGGUCAUAGUGAUCCGGUGGUUCUGCGUGGAAGGGCCAUCGCUCAAAGGAUAAAAGGUACGCCGGGGAUAACAGGCUGAUCUCCCCCAAGAGCUCACAUCGACGGGGAGGUUUGGCACCUCGAUGUCGGCUCAUCGCAUCCUGGGGCU
Molecule: ribosomal RNA, 1243 nt
Filed under: wastewater metagenome
Description: bacterial LSU rRNA
Rfam family: Bacterial large subunit ribosomal RNA
Source: RNAcentral